Molecule: ribosomal RNA, 253 nt
Filed under: uncultured bacterium
Lineage: Bacteria
Description: partial 16S ribosomal RNA
Rfam family: Bacterial small subunit ribosomal RNA
Source: RNAcentral
UACGUAGGUGGCAAGCGUUGUCCGGAAUUAUUGGGCGUAAAGCGCGCGCAGGCGGUCCCUUAAGUCUGAUGUGAAAGCCCACGGCUCAACCGUGGAGGGUCAUUGGAAACUGGGGGACUUGAGUACAGAAGAGGAAAGCGGAAUUCCACGUGUAGCGGUGAAAUGCGUAGAGAUGUGGAGGAACACCAGUGGCGAAGGCGGCUUUCUGGUCUGUAACUGACGCUGAGGCGCGAAAGCGUGGGGAGCAAACAAG